AGAGUUUGAUCCUGGCUCAGAACGAACGCUGGCGGCGCGUUUUAAGCAUGCAAGUCGAACGGUAAUAGGGUGCUUGCACUCUAUGAGAGUGGCGAACGGGUGAGUAACACGUAGAUGAUCUAUCCUUGGAUCCGGGAUAGCCUGUGGAAACACAGGGCAAUACUGGAUACGACCUUAUCUGUGAAGGGAUAAGGGGAAAGUCGCUUCGGCGACGUCCGGGGCUGAGUCUGCGGCUCAUUAGCUAGUUGGUAGGGUAAUGGCCUACCAAGGCGACGAUGAGUAGCCGGCCUGAGAGGGUGAUUGGCCACACUGGGACUGAGACACGGCCCAGACUCCUACGGGAGGCAGCAGCUAAGAAUCUUCCGCAAUGGGGGCAACCCUGACGGAGCGACGCCGCGUGAAUGAAGAAGGCCGGAAGGUUGUAAAGUUCUUUUCCUGGGGGAGAAUAAUGAUUGGAGGAAAUGCCAGUCAGAUGACGUGAACCAGGGAAUAAGCCCCGGCUAAUUACGUGCCAGCAGCCGCGGUAACACGUAAGGGGCAAGCGUUGUUCGGAUUUAUUGGGCGUAAAGGGCGUGUAGGCGGUUAAGUGUGUCUGGUGUGAAAGACUCCGGCUCAACCGGAGGGCCGCGCUGGAAACUGCUUAACUAGAGUGAUGGAGGGGGAGCUGGAAUUCCUGGUGUAGGGGUGAAAUCUGCAGAGAUCAGGAAGAACACCGGAGGCGAAGGCGAGCUCCUGGCCAUAUACUGACGCUGAGGCGCGAAAGCGUGGGGAGCGAACAGGAUUAGAUACCCUGGUAGUCCACGCUGUAAACGAUGUGCACUAGGUGUUGGUCCGUUGAGGAUCAGUGCCGUAGCUAACGCGUUAAGUGCACCGCCUGGGGAGUAUGCUCGCAAGGGUGAAACUCAAAGGAAUUGACGGGGGCCCGCACAAGCUGUGGAGCAUGUGGUUUAAUUCGAUACGCGAGAAACCUUACCAGGGCUUGACAUAGGCAUGACGGUUGUAGAGAUACAGCUUCUCUUCGGAGCAUGUUUACAGGUGCUGCAUGGCUGUCGUCAGCUCGUGCUGUGAAGUGUUGGGUUAAGUCCCGCAACGAGCGCAACCCUUGCUGUCUGUUGCCAACAGGUAAUGCUGGGGACUCAGACGGUACUGCCGGUGACAAACCGGAGGAAGGUGGGGACGACGUCAAGUCAUCAUGGCCCUUAUGUCCUGGGCUACACACGUGCUACAAUGGCCGGUACAGAGCGACGCGAAACCGCGAGGUGGAGCAAAUCGCAGAAAACCGGUCCCAGUUCGGAUUGAAGUCUGAAACCCGACUUCAUGAAGGUGGAAUCGCUAGUAAUCGCGCAUCAGCAUGGCGCGGUGAAUAUGUUCCCGGGCCUUGUACACACCGCCCGUCACACCACCCGAGUUGGGGGUACCCGAAGUCGCUCGUCUAACCUGUAAGGGAGGACGGUGCCGAAGGUAUGCCUGGUAAGGGGGCUGAAGUCGUAACAAGGUA
RNAcentral lists this ribosomal RNA (1498 nucleotides) under metagenome. RNAcentral describes it as "bacterial SSU rRNA". It matches the Rfam family "Bacterial small subunit ribosomal RNA". The record is from RNAcentral.